ACAAUAUACGGCUUUAUCGUCGUAUAAUUGGAAUGAGUACAAUUUAAAUCCCUUAACGAGGAACAAUUGGAGGGCAAGUCUGGUGCCAGCAGCCGCGGUAAUUCCAGCUCCAAUAGCGUAUAUUAAAGUUGUUGCAGUUAAAAAGCUCGUAGUUGGACCUUGGGCCUGGACGGGCGGUCCGCCUCACGGCGUGUACUGUCUUGCCGGGCCUUUCCUCUUGGUGAUCUGUUGUUUCGGCAGCAGGGAACCAGGACCUUUACUUUGAAAAAAUUAGAGUGUUCAAAGCAGGCUCGACGCCGGAAUAUAUUAGCAUGGAAUAAUAAAAUAGGACGUGCGGUUCUAUUUUGUUGGUUUUUGGAAUCGCCGUAAUGAUUAAUAGGGACAGUCGGGGGCAUUAGUACUCACAUGCUAGAGGUGAAAUUCUUGGAUUUUGUGAAGACUAACUUCUGCGAAAGCAUUUGCCAAGGAUGUUUUCAUUAAUCAAGAACGAAGGUUAGGAUAUCGAAAACUUAGGCAAACUUGGUCAUUUAGAGGAAGUAAAAGUCGUAACAAGGUAACC
This 559-nucleotide ribosomal RNA is filed under the name uncultured organism. Its description in RNAcentral is "SSU rRNA". It matches the Rfam family "Eukaryotic small subunit ribosomal RNA", at positions 477 to 1037 of the family's 1831-position model. The record is from RNAcentral.